CCUACGGGAGGCAGCAGUGAGGAAUAUUGGUCAAUGGGCGCAAGCCUGAACCAGCCAAGUAGCGUGAAGGAUGACGGCCCUACGGGUUGUAAACUUCUUUUAGUAAGGAAUAAAGUGAGGCACGUGUGCCUUUUUGUAUGUACUUUAUGAGUAAGGAGAGGCUAACACCGUGCCAGCAGCCGCGGUAAUACGGAGGAGCCGAGCGUUAUUCGGAUUUAUUGGGGUUAAAGGGAGCGUAGAUGGGUUGAUAAGUCAGUUGGGAAAGUUUGCGGCCCAAACGUAAAAUUGCAAUUGAUACUGGCAGUCUUGAGUACAGUAGAGGUAGGCGGAAUUCGUGGUGUAGCGGUGAAAUGCUUAGAUAUCACGAAGAACUCCGAUUGCGAAGGCAGCUUACUAAACUGCCACUGACAUUGAUGCUCGAAAGUGUGGGUAUCAAACAGGAUUAGAUACCCUUGUAGUC
RNAcentral lists this ribosomal RNA (460 nucleotides) under uncultured bacterium. RNAcentral describes it as "partial 16S ribosomal RNA". It matches the Rfam family "Bacterial small subunit ribosomal RNA", at positions 338 to 795 of the family's 1533-position model. The record is from RNAcentral.